ACCCAGUUAGUUCAAGGGUAGAAUGCUGGUUUCCCAUGUAACAGUGAGAAUUCUCCAGAGAUUCGGGUUCGAGUCCCGGGCUGGGUA
Molecule: non-coding RNA, 87 nt
Organism: Thozetella sp. PMI_491
Lineage: Eukaryota; Fungi; Ascomycota; Sordariomycetes; Chaetosphaeriales; Chaetosphaeriaceae
Source: the annotation of a GenBank genome assembly